Cebus imitator (Panamanian white-faced capuchin) is the source of this 817-nucleotide long non-coding RNA. RefSeq lists it as uncharacterized. The transcript is spliced from 3 exons. The record is from RefSeq and is a predicted model, not a curated record. NCBI's taxonomy places the organism in Eukaryota, Metazoa, Chordata, Mammalia, Primates, Cebidae.
ACUACAAAUACAUACAAAAAUCUGGAUGAAAUGCACAAAUAUAAUUUUGAGUAAAAGAAGCCAGAUAGCCAGGUGUAAAAGCAUACAUACUGUGUGAGUCUACACAGAGUUCAAAAGCUGGACAAACUUAUCUACAUGUUGGAAGGGAGGUUGGUAGUUACCCUUGGGGAGUUGACUUGGGGAUGUGAGAACAUUUUGGGGGCUAGGGGCCGAGGUAGGGGCUGGAAAUGUUGAGUGUCUUCAGCUCAUUGCCGGUUACACAGGAGUGUGUUUGGUUUGGGAGAAUUCGUUGAGCUAUACACGUAUGACUUGUACAUGUUUCUUCAUGUAUGUUAUAUAUUAACUGAAUGUAUUUAAAAAUAUUUAUGGGGUCCUGCUACUUAUAAACUGGACUUGACUCCAGGAAGCCAUCAGAAUCAAGAGAGAGCGAGGACGUGGCAUCACGGAGAGAUCUACAUUCCAGGUCAUGCCGUGGACCUGGUGGGUGGCCUCAGGACUUGAAGUGGAACCAUACAUUGGCUCUCCUGAGUCUCCACCUUCUUGACUGCAGAUUUGGGACUUCUCAGCCUCCAUAAAUGUUUUUCUUCUCCUAGGAUCCAGUCCUGAGAUCUCAGCUGCCAGCUAUUCCUGGAUAAGCAAAUGCUCUCAGGGGAAAGAGUCCUUGAUCCUCUGUGUUCAUGGAGGUAACCAACCAAGCUAGUCUGCCUGGGACUGAGCAGAUUCUUGGCACACAGGACUUUCUGCUUUAAAACAGAAAUAGCGCCAGGCACGGUGGCUCAUGCCUCAGUAUUUUGGGAGUCCAAGGCGGGCGGAUCAC